RNAcentral lists this ribosomal RNA (428 nucleotides) under Bacteroidota bacterium. RNAcentral's name for it is "Bacteroidetes bacterium partial 16S ribosomal RNA". It matches the Rfam family "Bacterial small subunit ribosomal RNA", at positions 355 to 776 of the family's 1533-position model. Lineage: Bacteria; Pseudomonadati; Bacteroidota. The record is from RNAcentral.
UAGGGAAUCUUCCGCAAUGGACGCAAGUCUGACGGAGCAACGCCGCGUGAGUGAAGAAGGAUUUCGGUUCGUAAAACUCUGUUGUUAGAGAAGAACAGCGCAUAGAGUAACUGUUAUGCGUGUGACGGUAUCUAACCAGAAAGCCACGGCUAACUACGUGCCAGCAGCCGCGGUAAUACGUAGGUGGCAAGCGUUGUCCGGAAUCAUUGGGCGUAAAGGGUACGUAGGCGGGUAAGCAAGUUAGAAGUGAAAUCCUGUAGCUCAACUACAGUAAGCUUUUAAAACUGCUCAUCUUGAGAUAUGGAAGGGAGAGUGGAAUUCCAUGUGUAGCGGUGAAAUGCGUAGAUAUAUGGAGGAACACCGGUGGCGAAAGCGGCUCUCUGGUCUGUAACUGACGCUGAGGCUCGAAAGCGUGGGGAGCGAACAGG